AACCAGACUCCUACGGGAGGCAGCAGUGGGGGAUAUUGCACAAUGGGGGGAACCCUGAUGCAGCGACGCCGCGUGGGUGAAGGAGCGUUUCGGCGCGUAAAGCCCUAUCGGCAGGGAAGAAGGAGGACGGUACCUGACUAAGAAGCCCCGGCUAACUACGUGCCAGCAGCCGCGGGAAUACGUAGGGGGCAAGCGUUAUCCGGAUUUACUGGGUGUAAAGGGGGCGCAGACGGCAGCGCAAGCCAGGAGUGAAAGCCCGGGGCCCAACCCCGGGACUGCCCUUGGAACUGCAUGGCUGGAGUGCGGGAGGGGCAGGCGGAAUUCCUAGUGUAGCGGUGAAAUGCGUAGAUAUUAGGAGGAACACCAGUGGCGAAGGCGGCUUUCUGGACUGAAACUGACGCUGAGGCACGAAAGCGUGGGGAGCGAACAGGAUUAGAUACCCCUGUA
RNAcentral lists this ribosomal RNA (447 nucleotides) under uncultured bacterium. RNAcentral's name for it is "partial 16S ribosomal RNA". It matches the Rfam family "Bacterial small subunit ribosomal RNA", at positions 329 to 792 of the family's 1533-position model. The record is from RNAcentral.